CUUAUGGCGCUCUCUCUCUCUCUCUCUCUCUCUCUCUCUCUCUCGCCGGCGAACGGCGGCCGACGACUGCGAGCGGCAGGCGACGGCAUCGAGCAGCGGCAAUCAAUAGUGAAGAUUUCUCUCGAUCUCAUAAACACAGCGCAGCUCUCACUCUCAUCUCAUCAGUCUCACUCUCUCGUUUUUCAUCUGGAUCGAUCGGAUCAACCUUGCAAGAGAUCGACUCUCUCUCAUCACAAGAUCGAUCGAUCGACUUCACUCUCUCAUCGCACCGAUCGAGCCUCUCGGCGAAGAGACCGAUUGACCUUCGAAAAAACCAAUCUGCUCUGCAACUCACAGGCUACUGUGUAAAUUCAUCAAAUGAAUCAAUGGCUACUGUGUAAAUUCUUCAUCUAGAAGAAAGGGAGGUUCUGAAGUGUUGUUAGUAUAAACAUGAAUCUUGAGAUUGUUUUUUCACUAUGCAAUCAAUCCCCACCGACAUGCCUCACCUCUCUCGAGUCCCCGGCGUUCUUUCCACUGGAAAUGGAGUUUGCUCAUUCUUUGAGGUAGAGCAAAGUGAACCUUAAGAUAUGCCAGUACUCCUAUGAGCUUCUACUGCAAUAUUUACACAAGACACAAUCCAUUACAAUGCUUGGGAUUAUUAAUGAGCAUAUUAACUUUCAAGGUGCAGCUCCCUGCUCGUUAAUUGCAUGUUUCUCAUCAUGAUAAUAUUUUUUCUACUGUAUCUUGGUGUUUUAGUUAAUUUUUUUCUUUUUCAUUGAGCUAAUAAUACCUCUUUGCAAUUUCUCCUGGACAACCAAGCUCAAUUUCUGAUGAUGAAGGUGUUACACUUGUUGGGAGUGGCCAGGAUGCAGCCAAUCUGAUAAAUCAGAAAGAAAUACACUGGGGGAUAAAAGAGCGACUGAUCCAGGUUACAUGCCAUAGGGAGGCCCGUGUCAAAAUUGAAGGAUUCUGUGCUGUAAUUAUUGGGAGUGAUGCCUUAAUCCACGCCUAAAUGCCAGAUGAUAUGAUGAUGUGUUUGCUUUUUGUUGAAUGCUGGUCUCAGUGUCAUGGCCAAGAAACCCGAUUCUUUUGUAGUUUCUUGCCAUCUCUACACAGUUUCAGAGAAUGCUGAUAAUGCCUGGGAGAAUCUUUGGCCCCCUUUUGUAUAUCUUAGCUUUUAUUUUGGUCUUUUGUUAAUAUAUUCUUUAUUUAUGGAUCUAGUGGCCAAUUUGCAUUC
Molecule: non-coding RNA, 1216 nt
Organism: Camellia sinensis
Lineage: Eukaryota; Viridiplantae; Streptophyta; Magnoliopsida; Ericales; Theaceae
Source: RefSeq, a predicted model, not a curated record